RNAcentral lists this long non-coding RNA (254 nucleotides) under Elaeis guineensis (African oil palm). RNAcentral describes it as "long non-coding RNA (EGUI_LNC072758)". Lineage: Eukaryota; Viridiplantae; Streptophyta; Magnoliopsida; Arecales; Arecaceae. The record is from RNAcentral.
ACCGAACCACUGUAACCAGUCGAGAACGAUCAACAUCAGAAAAAGCAUCCGCAUCUCUACAACGGUGAAAGACCAAUAGACUUAAUAUUUAAUGAGGAGAUUUGGGUUCAGAUCUCUUCUAAUUAGUCACAUGCACUAAUGUAAUGACUAAUAUAGUUUGGGUCAGCAUAUUUCAUGUCUCACCAACCUAGUUAGCAUGGGUGAACUCGGGUCAACAAGUAACCUAAUACAAAACAUAAUCUCCCAAGAUGGCC